Molecule: long non-coding RNA, 2249 nt
Organism: Carya illinoinensis
Lineage: Eukaryota; Viridiplantae; Streptophyta; Magnoliopsida; Fagales; Juglandaceae
Exons: 3
Source: RefSeq, a predicted model, not a curated record
UUGGAAAACCCCAAAUCACCCAGUUUUCAGGACUUCUUGACCCUUCGUUGGUGGACCACAAAUUUCUCAUCCGUUCAUCAGCUUCAGCUGCUGUUUCUUUCACCAGUACUGCUAUUUUAAGGUCUCUACACCACGUACUGUUUAUGUGACAUAAUUUGAUUUCAAAGAUAGAUUUUAAAAUUUGAAUCUCAUAAAUUAAAUUUUACCAUUUAAAUGAUAUAGAUAAUGUGCUCAACAGAAUGACUUGAGAAUAAAAUAACUCUCUUCACAUAUGGAUCUUAGAAUUGCUCAGCUUAAGUGAUGCUCAAUUAUCGCUAGUAAUUCCAUUAUUUUCCCCCAUAAUCCUCACUUCUGACCAUUACCAACGUUAUUAAGAUAUUAAUGCUUACUGCUUAGAAAGCAAUUGUGCAACCACCCCAAAGGACCGUUAAUGAAACCACUGUCCAAAGUUGCUUGUUUGGUUGCUAGCCUUCCUCUAGAUAAUCCUUUUAAUUUAUUCAAAAGAGUAAUAAUUUGUACAAGUCUCAAGUAUACAAGUUUUGCGCAGACCCUUUAUAAAACAAUCAUUUUCUUUUUUCUGUGGGCUCCAAUUUUUUUACAAAUGAGUUGUGCGAGGCUUGCACACCUAAAAGGGCUUAUACCUAGCAUACUCUAUUCAAAAUCCCCAUUAUAUUGAUAUAUCUUUUUAAAUCAAGACAAAAUUUCUUUAAACAACUCACGUUAAGGUGGGAGCAACACCCCUUUACACACGCCUAUGCGGUAAACCUCUCAUACAGUUAAGGUAAGCAACCAAAAUUACACGUACAAGGUCUUAUUUACAACAUAUAUAUGCACAAUUAGCUCUUUCUAGAGUUAAGGAGCCUCUAACCGAAACAGGGAGAUGAAUUUGAUCAUGAAUUGAGUUCAUCUACCCGAGCACAUAAGCAGACUGAACAGCCAUAGCAUUUUGCAACGCAAGAAUUUCAUACCAAAUCAGUCAAGGUUCCCAAUUGACUUUACUAAAGCCAUUCAGAUCUGGGAAUCAGACUCCACUACAACACAAGCAGCUUGAGAUUCAAGCAAAGCUUCAAACCAUCUAACACAGCACUCAACUCCGCUUUGUUUUUAGAUCCCAUACCAUAGAAAGAUGAAAAACCAGCCAUGAAACCUCCUGCCGGAUCCCUGAUCACUCCACCUCCUCCACAAGAACUGGAUUACUCAAUGAGCUUCUGUCACCAUUAAGUUUUACACAACCAAAACGAGGUCUAAUUCAUCUCAAAAUACAAACCACUGGUUGUUUCCAAUGAAUAAGAGGCACCUCUUCUAACCUUAAUGGUGAAUAUAUACUUGAUUUUCACUUCUGUUUAGUGUUUUCAAGGAAAACACUUAUAUAUACCAGCAAAUACUUGAUUUUCCAAAUUAAACCUGUGUGCUCUCCCAAUUGAUUAUCUAUUCUUGCCUAGCAUCUCCUUAUUCAUAAAGAUCAGCUAAUGAGAGAAGGCAACAAUCCAACAAUUCAUGCAAAAUGAAAGUUACUGCUUGCCCUUUGAAACCACCAAGUAAUCCUUCGAAUCCUAUUGACAACCUCUCUGCACAGCAAUCACAUUUUGAAGCCAAAGAAACACCCAGUUUCUGAAUAUUAACAUUAAAAGGUAAAUUGUAAUGAAAGCACAGCCAUAUGAAGACAGACAUGCAUGCAUCUUAUUUGGAAAGUGCGUAUACCAGACUCGCUCCAAGACACAGAUUGACCUCGAGUUCUAAUAUGCUCCCUAGAAGAACAAGUGGAAAGAGGAUCAGUGCCAGAAGCCUUCCAAAUAGAGUGUGGAUAUCUGUCCCCACCAUCUGGGCACACAAAAAACACAAGUUCAGUCCCAGACUGCCAGCAAAGUGUGAAACAUCUUGCAAAUAAUUAAACCUGCUCCAACUACUUAAAGGGUAGUGAUAUUAUAAGAGUCUUUACUUCUUGGGUGCGUUAUUGAAACAUUACUCUGGGUGUUUUCAACUAGUACCACCAAAAUGAAUGACUUGUCCCCAAAUGAAGUGAGCCAAAUCCCUCUUUGUUCUGCAAUAACAUUACUGUUGGGUUUCUAAAUUUUGCAACUAGUACCACCAAAAUCAAUGACUUGCCCCCAAAUGAACUGAAGUGUACCAAAUCCUUCUUUCAUCUGCAAUGGCUAACUGUUGGGGCCUGGGGGUACUGCUGCCCCAUUCAUUGAUCCCCCUGCAACAAUUGAGCUGUCUAUUGAGUGAAAGGCACAAUUAAUGAAGAA